UACGUAGGGUGCAAGCGUUAAUCGGAAUUACUGGGCGUAAAGCGUGCGCAGGCGGUUUUGUAAGCCAGAUGUGAAAUCCCCGGGCUCAACCUGGGAAUGGCAUUUGGGACUGCAAGGCUGGAGUUUGGCAGAGGAGACUGGAAUUCCUGGUGUAGCAGUGAAAUGCGUAGAUAUCAGGAGGAAUACCGAUGGCGAAGGCAGGUCUCUGGGCUAUAACUGACGCUCAUGCACGAAAGCGUGGGGAGCGAACAGG
RNAcentral lists this ribosomal RNA (253 nucleotides) under uncultured bacterium. Its description in RNAcentral is "partial 16S ribosomal RNA". It matches the Rfam family "Bacterial small subunit ribosomal RNA", at positions 524 to 776 of the family's 1533-position model. The record is from RNAcentral.